GAAUCCCGUCUUUGACACGGACUGCCUGUACAUUAUGGUGUGCUCUCGAAGAGUCGAGUUGUUUGGGAAUGCAGCUCAAAAUGGGUGGUAAAUGCCAUCUAAAGCUAAAUAUUGGCGAGAGACCGAUAGCGAACAAGUACCGUGAGGGAAAGAUGAAAAGCACUUUGGAAAGAGAGUGAAACAGUACGUGAAAUUGUUGAAAGGGAAACGCUUGAAGUCAGUCGCGCCGUUCGGGAUUCAGCCUUGCUUCUGCUCGGUUUACUUCCCGUUGGGUGGGUCAACAUCAGUUUUGGUCGGAGGAGAAAGGCUUGGGGAAGGUGGCAGCAUUCGUGCUGUGUUAUAGCCCCUUGUUGUAUACUUCGACUGGGACUGAGGACCGCAGCACGCCUUUGGCCGGGGUUCGCCCACGUACGUGCUUAGGAUGUUGGCAUAAUGGCUUUAAGCGACCCGUCUUGAAACACGGACCAAGGAGUCUAACAUGUGCGCGAGUGUUUGAGUGUUAAACUCAGACGCGAAAUGAAAGUGAAAAGUUGGGAACACUCAUGUGUGCACCGACGCCCGGAGCUGACCUUCUGUGACGCAUCUGCGGUAGAGCGUAUAUGUUGGGACCCGAAAGAUGGUGAACUAUGCCUGAAUAGGGUGAAGCCAGAGGAAACUCUGGUGGAGGCUCGUAGCGAUUCUGACGUGCAAAUCGAUCGUCAAAUUUGGGUAUAGGGGCGAAAGACUAAUCGAACCAUCUAGUAGCUGGUUCCUGCC
Molecule: ribosomal RNA, 756 nt
Filed under: uncultured Sebacina
Lineage: Eukaryota; Fungi; Basidiomycota; Agaricomycetes; Sebacinales; Sebacinaceae
Description: partial 28S ribosomal RNA
Rfam family: Eukaryotic large subunit ribosomal RNA
Source: RNAcentral